UAGCAGGGUGAGAGUAGUGGUGAGGGCUGGUGUGGCACGUGGGGAGGGGGCCAGAGCCCUAGGUGCUGCACCUGGGGAAGGAGAGCAGACGUCGGGACCGGGGAUCCCAGGGUUAGCUAGCGUUUUCCCGGAAGGGCAAGAAAAGAUGCUCCACUGGCCCCCACAAAGCUGACCGGACUCCCUUUUGGGUGGGGACCGGGCGAGUAAAAGCAGCCUUUUGAAUGUUGACUUCUCAAUCCUUUUCAGGAGGCCCUCCGCCUGCCCUACUGAGCGAACCUUUAAGCCCCCAAGCCAGUGUUUUUGGAAAGAGAGUGGUCAAUUUCAGGAGGACAUUAAAAGCCAACCUCCCGGGCUUCAGCCCCAGCUCCUACUGCCUUCCAGCCACUCUCCCCUGCCUUUCCUUUCUGCGGCUCUUAGGAUGUUGUUGCUGCCCUUAAAGGCCGUCGUGUGAGUGCCCUGUCAGAAGAAAGCUUGGUGGUGGUUAGGAUUUUACAGAAGGCCACCAGUGAAAAGAAUGUAAGGUCACAUAGCCUGUACCAUUUCAGGGAGGCAUUGUCUAACCUGGAGCCAUGAGCCUUUUUGAAAUAAUAAUAUUGUCGACCCCCAGUUGUAUGUGCCCAAGGAGAUGGCAAACUUGAGAAACAAGAAUAAUCCUUUCAGCUGGUUUAAAGCUGAGCCCUCACUCUUGGAAUUAAGAAACUGACAAAGGAUGCAAGUUCUUGGUUUAAGGAGCCAAUGGUGUGGUUCCCAGGGACCCUCCCAAAUACACUUCCAAUCUGUUUCUGGAGGACCUGACCUGUAACUCCUGACAAUAUGUUCUGAAUGCUGAAGGAUGGAGAUACACUUUGGAGUAAGAUUCAUAUGAACUUUCAUAAAUUCUUGGGCCAAUGGACUCAAGCCCCUCAUUCAAAGAAAACACCAGAAGAGACUUGGUGUUUUGUGAAAUGGCACAUUCCAAAAUCUCUGUCACUGAGAAAAGGAUGUAAGCUCAGGAUCAAAGCAUCGUCUUCAAAGAAGGAGAAAGUGGAAAACCAUUGAGUACUCUGUUUAAGAACACCUUCAUGGAUUUGAUGGAGACAAGGGAGGAAUGUGUUUUGCUGUUUUGGAUUUCAAGAAAUGAAACAGAAACAAGAGCUGGUUUCUUGAUAACUUUGUUCUUCUACGCUAUGGUCUGUAGAAUGAUACAGUUUCUAGUUUAAUUGGUCUGUGACCUGCAGACCCCUGUGUAAGACUCUUCCAGCUUUGAACAUACCAAAGAAAAUUUUAAAAGAAGAGGGGAGAAAAAAGGAGAAAAGUCUGCAUAUUGGGUAAAGGAUGAUUUUGUAUGUGUGUGCUUUUCUAUAGUUGCUAGGAUUUCUGCAAUGAACAUGAGUUCACUUCGAAAUCAGGAAAAACACUAAUAAAUAUUGGAGUUAAUUCUAAGUAGUUAAAAGAAUAAAAUGAUAACCAAUUAUUUUUCAAGCCAAUGCAAAUUAAAAUAAAAGAAGAAUGGCAGUAAUAAUAAGACAAAGUAGAAUUCAUCAUAAAGCAACACUUGGAAUAAAAGAGCCAUUUGUGGGCAUUUUAUGUUGAUAAAAGGUACAAUGCAGGAUGAAGAUAUUAUAAUGAUCAAAGUCACACAAUAAAAGCACAAUAUUAAAUAUAAAAAACAAAAAUUUGACAGGAAUGAAAGGGGAAUUCAGCAGAAAAACAAUUGUUAUAAGAGACGUAAGCACCAGACUUUGACAAUUAGCAGAGGAAAAAAAAAGACACCUAAGUUUGAUACACCAUAAUUAUCAAAGUUGAUUAAUAGACAAAUAUUGAAUUUUGUUCCCUAGCAACAAAGAAUAUGCCUUUCUGAUGUAUUAUUUGAAAACCAGAGCAAAACAAAUACUAUAAAGGCCACAAAGAGAACUUUUGUCCAAAAUGCAACAAAACUAGACAAAAAUUACCAAAGUAAAUAAAAUUUUAAAAACUCACCCUUCCACCACUUAGAAACUAAAAAAAUAUGUAUUAUGACUGCAUUAAAAAGAAAAUGAAAACUAUAAUCACCAGCUAUUUAGAAAGUAAUAAAAAUCAGAAAGUUAUAUAUAAGCAUUCAUAGAAUGUGACUAGAUCAGUACAAAAGAGGUACGUUGAGGCCCCCACAUGCUAUCAUUAUUAAGCCAGAGAGUAAACAUAUGACUAAAGCAUAUGGCUAAAAAAUGAGAAAUAGAAGAAUAAAAUCCAACUAAGCAGAAAUAAAAGGAAAAGAAAGAUAAUAUGGCAAUUUAUAAUCAGAAAAUAAAGUAUAAUUGAUAAAUCCAA
Molecule: long non-coding RNA, 2286 nt
Organism: Homo sapiens (human)
Lineage: Eukaryota; Metazoa; Chordata; Mammalia; Primates; Hominidae
Exons: 7
Source: RefSeq, a predicted model, not a curated record